GUAGGUGACCUGCGGAAGGAUCAUUACUGAGAUUAGGGUCUUUUGGGGCCCGAACCUCCUAACCUUUGUGUAUAUACCUCUGUUGCUUCGGCGGAUAUCCCGGGUCGUGGUACUGGCUCGCCGCGUACCACCUUCCGGGCCCGCCAGAGGCCCUCUCCAUUCUGAAGUAUUAGUGUAGUCUGAGUAACCAAUUCAAUUAAAUCAAAACUUUCAACAACGGAUCUCUUGGUUCUGGCAUCGAUGAAGAACGCAGCGAAAUGCGAUAAGUAAUGUGAAUUGCAGAAUUCAGUGAAUCAUCGAAUCUUUGAACGCACAUUGCGCCCCCUGGUAUUCCGGGGGGCAUGCCUGUUCGAGCGUCAUUACACCUCUCAAGCUCAGCUUGGUAUUGGGCCUCCGUCCUCCGCGGACGGGCCUGAAAUUCAGUGGCAGUGCAGCCGGUGCUCAAGCGUAGUAAUUUUUAUCCCGCUUUGGAGUCGCCGGGUGGACCCGCCAGACAACCCCCAAAUUAUUUACACUGGUUGACCUCGGAUCAGGUAGGGAUACCCGCUGAACUUAAGCAUAUCAAUAAGCGGAGGAAAAGAAACCAACGGGGAUUGCCUCAGUAACGGCGAGUGAAGCGGCAACAGCUCAAAUUUGAAAUCUGGCCUCCGGGCCCGAGUUGUAAUUUGUAGAGGGAGUUUCGGAGGCGGCGCCGGCUUAAGUUCCUUGGAACAGGGCGUCAUAGAGGGUGAGAAUCCCG
RNAcentral lists this ribosomal RNA (739 nucleotides) under Aspicilia goettweigensis. RNAcentral describes it as "eukaryotic LSU rRNA". The stretch from base 520 to 739 matches the Rfam family "Eukaryotic large subunit ribosomal RNA", at positions 1 to 223 of the family's 3401-position model. Lineage: Eukaryota; Fungi; Ascomycota; Lecanoromycetes; Pertusariales; Megasporaceae. The record is from RNAcentral.